RNAcentral lists this transfer RNA (72 nucleotides) under Camelus bactrianus (Bactrian camel). It matches the Rfam family "tRNA". Rfam says of the family: Transfer RNA (tRNA) molecules are approximately 80 nucleotides in length. Their secondary structure includes four short double-helical elements and three loops (D, anti-codon, and T loops). Lineage: Eukaryota; Metazoa; Chordata; Mammalia; Artiodactyla; Camelidae. RNAcentral also lists the same sequence under 3 other names. The record is from Rfam by way of RNAcentral.
GAGAGUAUAGCUCAGUGGUAGAGCACAUGCUUAGCAUGCAUGAGGUCCUGGGUUCGAUCCCCAGUACCUCCA